RNAcentral lists this ribosomal RNA (457 nucleotides) under Fusobacterium sp. oral taxon A11. RNAcentral's name for it is "bacterial SSU rRNA". It matches the Rfam family "Bacterial small subunit ribosomal RNA", at positions 28 to 496 of the family's 1533-position model. The record is from RNAcentral. Lineage: Bacteria; Fusobacteriati; Fusobacteriota; Fusobacteriia; Fusobacteriales; Fusobacteriaceae.
GAUGAACGCUGACAGAAUGCUUUACACAUGCAAGUCAACUUGAAUUUGGGUUUUUUAACUAAGAUUUGGGUGGCGGACGGGUGAGUAACGCGUAAAGAACUUGCCUCACAGCUAGGGACAACAUUUGGAAACGAAUGCUAAUACCUGAUAUUAUGAUUAUAAGGCAUCUUAGAAUUAUGAAAGCUAUAUGCGCUGUGAGAGAGCUUUGCGUCCCAUUAGCUAGUUGGAGAGGUAACGGCUCACCAAGGCGAUGAUGGGUAGCCGGCCUGAGAGGGUGAACGGCCACAAGGGGACUGAGACACGGCCCUUACUCCUACGGGAGGCAGCAGUGGGGAAUAUUGGACAAUGGACCAAGAGUCUGAUCCAGCAAUUCUGUGUGCACGAUGACGUUUUUCGGAAUGUAAAGUGCUUUCAGUUGGGAAGAAAAAAAUGACGGUACCAACAGAAGAAGUGACGG